RNAcentral lists this non-coding RNA (28 nucleotides) under Bombyx mori (domestic silkworm). The record is from RNAcentral. Lineage: Eukaryota; Metazoa; Arthropoda; Insecta; Lepidoptera; Bombycidae.
UAGCAACGUGGACUGAGGUAUUGGGAGU